Molecule: ribosomal RNA, 301 nt
Filed under: uncultured bacterium
Lineage: Bacteria
Description: partial 16S ribosomal RNA
Rfam family: Bacterial small subunit ribosomal RNA
Source: RNAcentral
CAGCCGCCGCGGUAAUACGAAGGGGGCUAGCGUUGCUCGGAAUUACUGGGCGUAAAGGGCGCGUAGGCGGCCAUUCAAGUUAGAUGUGAAAGCCCUAAGCUCAACCUAGGAAUUGCAUUUGAUACUGUUUGGCUUGAGUUCGGGAGAGGUGAGUGGAAUUCCCAGUGUAGAGGUGAAAUUCGUAGAUAUUGGGAAGAACACCAGUGGCGAAGGCGGCUCACUGGCCCGAUACUGACGCUGAGGUGCGAAAGCAUGGGGAGCAAACAGGAUUAGAUACCCCUGUAGUCCCUGUCUCUUAUAC